AUGAACGCUUGGCAGGCACGUUUCGAUGACUACUCCCUCGUUCAGUGCGGCAUGCUUUACAGCCUAGAGCCGGGGCUCCAAAAGCGUUUUGAGAGACAUGGAGCAUAUGAGAUGUUCGAAGAGCUGAAAAUGGUUUUCCAAGCUCAUGCCCGGGUCGAGAGAUAUGAAGUCUCCGACAAAUUCUUUAGUUGUAAGAUGGAGGAAAACAGUUCUGUCAGUGAGCACAUACUCACUAUGUCUGGGUUGCAUAACCGCUUGACUCAGCUGGGAGUUAAUCUCCCGGAUGAUGCAGUCAUUGACAGAAUCCUCCAGUCGCUUCCACCAAGCUACAAGAGCUUUGUGAUGAACUUCAAUAUGCAGGGGAUGGAAAAGACCAUUCCUGAAGUAUUUGUUAUGCUGAAAUCAGCGGAGGUAGAAGUCAGGAAGGAACAUCAAGUGUUGAUGAUCAAUAAAACCACUAAGUUCAAGAAAGGCAAGGGUAAAAAGAUCUUCAAGAAGGACGGCAAGGAGGUUGCCGCGCCCGGCAAGCAAGCUGCCGGGAAGAAGCCAAAGAAUGGACCCAAGCCCGAGACUGAGUGCUUUUAUUGCAAGGGAAGCGGUCACUGGAAGCGGAACUGCCCUAAGUACUUAACGGAUAAGAAGGCCGGCAAAACAAAAGGGGCUGCAGAAUAA
RNAcentral lists this ribosomal RNA (672 nucleotides) under Triticum aestivum (bread wheat). RNAcentral describes it as "partial small subunit ribosomal RNA". The record is from RNAcentral. Lineage: Eukaryota; Viridiplantae; Streptophyta; Magnoliopsida; Poales; Poaceae.